RNAcentral lists this long non-coding RNA (432 nucleotides) under Nicotiana benthamiana. RNAcentral describes it as "long non-coding RNA (NBEN_LNC015672)". Lineage: Eukaryota; Viridiplantae; Streptophyta; Magnoliopsida; Solanales; Solanaceae. The record is from RNAcentral.
UUACUCACAUUAAUUCUGUCACCUGUAUUAUAGAUUCAGGUGCCUCUAAUCACAUGACACAUGAUAAACAACUACUUUUUAACAUUAUACCUCUAACUCUGCCAUAUCUUGUCACUCUUCCAAAUGUAUGUUAACUGAGAACCCUAUUUCUGAUUCCAAACUUUUCUUUCUUACUCACAUUAAUUCUGUCACCUGUAUUAUAGAUUCAGGUGCCUCUAAUCACAUGACACAUGAUAAACAACUACUUUUUAACAUUAUACCUUUACCUCUGCCAUAUCUUGUCACUCUUCCAAAUGGCUAUAAAGUGAAAGUGACUUGUACUGGCUCCUUUGCCUUGACUCCUUCCAUCACUCUUCACAAUGUACUGCUAGUUCCUUCUUUUAAACACAACUUGAUUUCUGUUCACAAGUUAGUGAAGCAGUUGCAUUGUAU